Molecule: long non-coding RNA, 1427 nt
Organism: Cyprinus carpio carpio
Lineage: Eukaryota; Metazoa; Chordata; Actinopteri; Cypriniformes; Cyprinidae
Source: Ensembl
UUUUGGACACUUAAGGCACACAUAACAAUUGUGGGACAUGUCCAGUUGCAUUUUUUGUAUGUUUUUUUUUUUGUUUCAAAGCCCUGUCAGUAUUUAUUUUAAUAAAUGUUUAAAAAAAAAUUACAUUACUAUUUUUUUUUUUUUUUUUUUAACAGAACACGUGAAUGUGACCAUGCUCAGUUACUUCUACCCUGUUCUCGACCAAAUUGAAACACUGAGAAAAGAAUGCAGCCAACUGAAGAUGCCGCCAAUAUGGUGAUCCUGCAUCCAAAUCCUAACCCCUAAAACCUUUCACGAAAUAUAUCUUUUGAGUAUGAGUGAGUUCUCCAGAGGCCGUCUGGUGAACCUCUGUGGCCACGAACCAAUCAGAGUCAUUAACCUGAUGUUCCAGAUGAGCAGAGACAAGAAUGAUAAGAAUAUCAUCCCAUUAUUGAGUCCAUUAAGAGAGCCAGAGGAGGGAGAAGAUCCAUGCCGUCUGCAGUCAGAUUUCAUUCACCACCAGCGCAGAGAUAAUUAGCCGACAGAUUAGACAAACCACUCAUACACACACACACAUACACUCACAGAGCUUCGGCUCAUUAUCCUGGAUGACUUUGACUGUUAAGUAGCUGCUCCCUUGUGUUUUAUUUGUUGACCAUAUGCCAUUACAUCAAAACUGAUCUUUGCCUUUAAGGUUACUUAAAGCCAAACCAAAGCCAUUAAGCAAACUACUGUACAUAUGUAUAUAUAUAUAUAUAUAUAUAUAUAUAUAUAUAUAUAUAUAUAUAUAUAUAUAUAUAUAUAUAUAUAUAUAUUAGUGCCCUCCACUAAUAUUGGCACCCUUUGUAAAUAUGAGCAAAGGCGGCUUUGAAAAUAAGUCUGCAUUGUUUAUCCUUUUGAUCUUUCAUUAAAAAAAACACAAAAUUCUAAACUGUCAUUGAAGUAAAACAAUUGAAAGUGGUAGGAAAGUCUCAUUGUGAAAUAAAUGCUUUCUCUAAUUCAUGUUAACCACAAUUAUUGGCACCCAAUUAUUGCAAUGUCCUUUUCCUAAGAUAACAGCUCUGGGUUUUUUCCUAUAAUGCCUGAAGAGUUUGGAGAGCACCUGACAAGAGAUCAGAGACCAUUCCUUCAUCCAGAAUCACUCCAGACCCUUUAGAUUCACAGCUCCAUGUUGGUGCUUCUUCUCUUCAGUUCACCACACUCAUUUUCUAUGAGGGUUCAGGUCAGAGGACUGGGAUGGCCAUGGCAAAAGUUUGUAUUGGAACUCUUAGACAUUGGCUUACUUGUCAUUUUGUUAUUUCUGUUUGUUUCGUUUAUUUUGGUUUUGCUUGUGUUGAGAUUGUAUUUUUCUUGUUUGUAGUAUUUGAUUAUUUGUUGUAAAUUCCUGUGAAUAAUAGCUUAUUGGGAUGUAGGGUUCAGAUGCCAAUUAUUUUCUCAUAAUUUUGUAA